Molecule: long non-coding RNA, 389 nt
Organism: Gopherus evgoodei (Goodes thornscrub tortoise)
Lineage: Eukaryota; Metazoa; Chordata; Testudines; Testudinidae
Exons: 3
Source: RefSeq, a predicted model, not a curated record
GACCAGACACCUACCUGGGCGUGGAUGCUCCGAAAAUCCCAGGCGCUGCUACCUCCAUUUUGAUCCGGGAGCCCGGGCUGAGCAGUAGCUGCUGCUCCCCCCAUGGGACCUGUGCUGGGGGGGGGUCCCCUCAUUAACCCCUCCCUGCCCAGCGUGGGGAGGGGGCUGAGUCCAGCUGGGACCAGCCCCCUGGGCUGCAGACUGCAGGAGACUUGGAUUGAGCUUCCUAGCUGAGAUGCUGUUGUUUCCUCCCCUGUUAUCUGGAAGCCCAAGUUGAGCUGCUGCUUCUCUCCCAGUGGGGUCUGUGCUGCAGAGUGACUUUAUAUAAAAUUUCUUCUGUGCUGAGCCAAGGGACCGGUGACCUUUGAGGAGGUGGCUGUGUAUUUUAC